Molecule: long non-coding RNA, 1128 nt
Filed under: Betta splendens (Siamese fighting fish)
Lineage: Eukaryota; Metazoa; Chordata; Actinopteri; Anabantiformes; Osphronemidae
Description: lncRNA (ENSBSLG00000005389.1)
Source: RNAcentral
UGCUUUUUGUGCAGACAAACAUAUAAUUGGACCCAAAGCUGAGUCUUUUUAUGUUGACUGUUUAUUUGACGUCAACAUAAGUUUAUUUCAUUGAUGAAAACUAACCAGCUAUGGCUUCUGUCCCUGAGCAACAUCGUGGGACUCGACGCUGUGGAGGUUUCUGUGGAACAACCCAGCUGUUCAGCUCCGGUUACCGCUUUGCCUGCCACUCGUGCUGGGAGGAGGAUAAACUGCCUGAGCCCCGGCCACUGGGAUGCACAUAUUAGGUUCAUUAUGGAUACUUGAUUUUGGCUUUAGGCUAGCAACCAAGGAUGCACAGUAGGACGCUGAGGACAACUUCACUGAACGCUGAGCCUCCACCCAUCCGGUGAGAUUUAUUAUGAAUUUAAUUUCCCUAAACCAAACUGCAGCCGAUGCUUCCACGAGAUUUGGCAUUGAUUGGACAGCCUGCACUCCUCCCUCUGCUCACUGAUGUAGCAUGUAUUAAGAAAAGGCCUCACCACUAAUUACACCCUCCCAGUCUAAUAGAGGCACCCUGUUAAACAAACAAUUGAUCCCCACUUAACACAUGUACCCGCGUUAGUAAAACACAAUUUGCCAAUUUGCCAAAGGCAACACAGGCAGAAAAGGGAGAACGAGAGGGAGGACGGAGAGAAAAGGGAGGCAAAGGAGGGAGCCACUGGGGGCCCCUGCCAUGUGAGGAGGAGGAGGAGGAGGGAUGAUGCUGGUGCAGAGGAGUGAAAGAGAGAGGAGACUGAUUAAGGGUGAGGAAAAGAGAGAGAGAGAAUGAUGAAGAUUGUCCACAGCCCCUGAUUCCUGGCCAGAUCUCACAGAUGCCUGAUGCAAAGUCUUUCAUCAAUGCUAAUUUGACUGCUUUAAAACUUCAAAGGACAAUAACACUUCUAAUGUCGAUUCAGUGUUAGUGUGCUGGCGUAUCAGUGCGCAUGUGAGUUUACCUUGUUCAGUGCACAGUGAUAUAUAGUCUCUCAGAAGUGAGGUUCAAACAAUAUUUAGUGGUAAAAAGAUCCUGAAUUGCUGUUUAUGAACACAGGUUUCCUAAAGUGUGUUAAUCCGUUACAUUGUUUGUGUAUUUGUGUCUGAUUUAUUCCGGGUAGAAAUAUAUUGUCC